GACGAACGCUGGCGGCGUGCUUAACACAUGCAAGUCGAACGAAGAGCGAUGGAAGCUUGCUUCUAUCAAUCUUAGUGGCGCACGGGUGAGUAACGCGCAAUCAACCUGCCCUUUAGAGGGGGACAACAGUUGGAAACGACUGCUAAUACCGCAUACGAUCCGACCUCGGCAUCGAGGAUGGAUGAAAGGUGGCCUCUAUUUAUAAGCUAUCACUGAAGGAGGGGAUUGCGUCUGAUUAGCUCGUUGGAGGGGUACCGGCCCACCAAGGCGAUGAUCAGUAGCUGGUAUGAGAGGAUGAUCGGCCACACUGGAACUGAGACACGUUGCAGAGUCGUACGGGAGGGAGCAGUGGGGAAUAUUGGACAGUGGGCGGAAGCCUGAUCCAGCCAUACCGAGUGGGUGAAGAAGGCCUUCGGGUUGUAAAGCCCUUUUGUUGGGAAAGAAAAGAAGCAGGUUAAUACCCCGCUGUUGUGACGGUACCCAAAGAAUAAGCACCGGCUAACUUCGUG
RNAcentral lists this ribosomal RNA (509 nucleotides) under uncultured bacterium. Its description in RNAcentral is "partial 16S ribosomal RNA". It matches the Rfam family "Bacterial small subunit ribosomal RNA", at positions 28 to 507 of the family's 1533-position model. The record is from RNAcentral.